Mercurialis annua (annual mercury) is the source of this 1162-nucleotide long non-coding RNA. RefSeq lists it as uncharacterized. The record is from RefSeq and is a predicted model, not a curated record. The transcript has 4 exons. NCBI's taxonomy places the organism in Eukaryota, Viridiplantae, Streptophyta, Magnoliopsida, Malpighiales, Euphorbiaceae.
AAAAAAAAAAGUUCCGGGUCGGGUUCGGUCCAACCAGAAUCGGUUGGACCAGGUGUCGGUUGGACCAGGUCUCGUUGAACCGAGACCUGGUCUCGUACGGGAUGUGCAGGUCUCGUACGAGACCUGCUGCGGAAUUUCAGGGGGGCAGUUUUGCCCCCUGAUUUCUCUCGAUCUAUCCGCGUUUUAAAAACGCUUUCUAAACCAAAUAUCUUCACCACACAUCAGUCUAGCCCUAGCCGCUUUCCUCAUUCAAUUUCGCUGAGAAUCCUUUCCGAAAUCAUCAACCAAAGUUAAGUGAAAAUCAUUGGUUUCGCUUCCUUCCAGUGAUAGAAGACUCACGUAUCUACAAAUCCCAACUUUUCGUUCGUCAAACGCCGUUCGGAGGUCGAAAUCAAUUCCGUUUGUUUCCCGUGAAAGUAGACUCACGCAUCUACGUUUCUACACCUUUCGUUCGUCAAACGACCCGUCGACUGCUCGUGCUUCGGAGUCUACGCAGGGUUAGCUGUUUGCCAAGAUCACGUGGAUAAGCAAGCAGUGAGUUUGUAGUGCUAUUUACCGCUUUAUUAAGUACCGCAAUUUAUUUUAAUAUUAUAAAUGUUUGCGAACUGUUUUUACGGAUUAUGGAACUGGAUUGAAACGAGCUACUCGAUAGGCUUGUAUCGAGACUGUGUGCACCGGUAAGUACUCUGGGAAACGGCAGACUAAAGUCUUGCUCACGCUGGUAUAUUUAUUUGACGAGGAUUUGUUCCCGUCCACUCUGGGUUUAUCGGUAUGCUAUGACAUACUUACGCUGGGAUCAUUUCAAUACUGUUUUUCCAUAAUCAUAUUAUAUUAGUAUAAAAAUGUUUUGAUUUAAGGGUUUUAAACUUAAUAAAUGUAAAUAGUAUUGCGAACUCAUCUCAGUAUAUCUGACCCCGUUGUUUUCCCAAAUUUUCCAGGUUUAUGAUUUGAAAGCUGGUCCACUCCGAUUCUUUUGAUUCCUCGGAGGUUUUUAUGUUAUUAAACUAGUUUCUAUUUUUCGAACUCUUAGACCGCAGUAGAACUAGUUUAUACAUUACUUAUUAUUGCACUUUGGGAUUGUCGAUUUGAGCGACUAUUUAUUUUUGGCAUGUUCACUCCGGAUUAUUUAUUUUAUAUAUAAGGCAUGCUGUUGAACUUUUCA